This is a long non-coding RNA of Ostrea edulis (European flat oyster), 3406 nucleotides long. RefSeq lists it as uncharacterized. The record is from RefSeq and is a predicted model, not a curated record. Lineage: Eukaryota; Metazoa; Mollusca; Bivalvia; Ostreida; Ostreidae. The transcript has 3 exons.
AUCUGUAGCAGUGAAGACUGUCACCACACGUAUGGGUGCAAGAGAACUCCACCAGAAGAUUAUUUAUCAUUGCAGAGCAUUGAAAUAUCAACCAUUCCUGCAUCUGCUUCAAAGGCUACAACAGAGGCUGCACCGAAAUCUACCAACAUCCUCCAUAUGAACAGUAUGCGUGCUCAAGAGACGGAAGCCGUAAAUGAAAGUUAUCUUACACCUUUAAUUGCUGGUAUUAUCAGUCUUUUGAUCGUUGCAGGAAUGUUACUGAUCCUCUACGUAAUGACAUAUUCACAUAAAGACACGUGUAUAGUUCAAGGAAAUACAUCAAGUAAAAGCACACCUUGAAAUGAUAGAAUUUACGCCCCUCACGUUCAAUCAAAAUAUGACCGCAUGGGAUAUUUUCUCUGAACAUGUAUCUAAAAGAGUAACAAUGUAAUAAAAGAAUCAAGUUUUGUAUUAUUCGGAAUUCUUAUCUAUACCAAUAAAAAACAAAGAAACACAUAGAACUAAUUUUACUCUGAAUCUCAUCAAAUAAUUUUUCAAACAUCUUUCUGGUAAAGAAAGACUGAUCUAAUUACUCAUUGUAACAGCUAAUGCUGUUAUUCACUAGAUAAAUAUUUGAAAGAAUUUGAGGACAAUAGAACGUGUUUUCAUAAAAUCUUAAAACAGUCUCUGUAGCUCUCGAUUGUUGUAAGUCCCUAUUCCACUUGUUUCAAGCACCAGUAGUCUAUAAAAUGAACGGCUUUUCUAUAUGCCAUUGCAUUGUUGUUAAAUGUAACCGUGUUUUGAGAUUUGUCGCGUUCGAAUGAUGCUCAACGCAACGAUGCAAUUGGAUGAAUAGAAGCAGGUGUGUCAUCAUUUACAGUUCGAAGAGAUUGCAAUGUUGCAAAUAGCACCAUAUCUCGGCUUUUGGGCAGAUAUGAACACCAUGGUUAAAAGAUGAUCGUCAUAGAUCAGGUAUACCAAAGGUGAGUUCAUCAGCACAGUAUCACUUAAUCUGAUUGCUUCAUUGUCAACGAUUCAUAACAGCGCCAUAUACAACAACUAUCACUCCAGGAAUUUGCAGAAUGAAAAAUUAAAAGGUGAAGAGAACGAAAGUAACCAAUCUCAAAACUCUUAUUAGGAAUACAAAUUAAGAGUAAGGCAAAUGCGGACCCCAUGUCAUACCAGAGAUGAAAACAGUUGCCUAGGAGGACUAAGCAUCCUCUGUUGACCGGUCGCACCAGCCAUCAUUUUGAUCGGGUAAACGAAUAAUUAAUCCAUAGUAAAAUCCGUGUGUAAACAACGAUCUCAAUUGCUAUAAUACAUGUCUGACAUCAUUUCACAUAAUGGCAGUGUGUAUUGGUAAAUUACAUUCUGAUAACGACAAUGAAUUUUGCAAAAUGCAAACUUUGAAUGAAAAUGUUGAGACCCUUGCACCAUCAACUUGUUUGUCAGUAGCCUGAGUCGAUUUUAAAAGCAUGAUCAUACGCAGAACAAGCUCUUGCGUAUAAAAUCAGUUAAGAGACAUAAACAGCAUGUGCAGGUGAUAAUGAAAUAUUGGUACAUCAAAUUGGGAAGUUAACGAUGAGGAAGCUGAAAUCAUAGCGUUUGUCAUAAAGUUGAGUUGCUAUUUUGCCGUUGAUAUCCAUUUUCAAUAAAAUGUCCAAGUAUGAAGCAGAAGUGGAGGGCUAUGUUGUGAGUUUUAUCUCGAGUUCACCGGGGUGAAAGGUGAAGAUAACGAACAGUGAUCAAUCUCAUAACUCUCGCAAGGAAUACAAAAUACAAAGUUUGUCAAACACGGACCCCAGGACAUACCAAAGUUGAGAUCAGGUACCUAGGAUAUAUAUGUGCAGUUUUGUGUCGCUGUUCAUGAAUCAUCAAAAUAUCCUGAUAGCUGACAAAACGUUGGAGUGUUCAAUACAUUUUAAAGACUAAGUCUUAAAUUCCGUGUUUAUUUCAUUUUGAUCCAUUAUAUCCAGUGUUCACUAAACUCUGAUGAGUAUUAUAUUCAGUGCUCACUAAAGUCUGAUGAGUAUUAUAUUCAGUGUUCACUACAUGUCAAUUACCAUUAUAUUUAGCGUUCACUACUUUUUGAUUACUGACAAGUAAAUUCAAUGUUCACUGAUAAUGAUCAUUGUCUAUCAUAUUCAGAGUUCGAGUCCCGCUACUCUCAUGGCCGUGUCCAACUUAUGACGUAAAUAUAGGUACUGACUGCUCCUUCGUCAAACGAAGGAAAUCACAUGCCUUCCGGAUAUGACCUACAACACGGAUCCCGUGUCACAGCAGGCUUUGGUAUGUUAAAGAACCAUCACUACUAUAACCCUAAGCGCUUAGCAUGGGUCUAAUAUUGUGGUACUUCACCUAUAGGUGCCACCAUCUCAAUGUGAGUGAACAAUUCUCAACGGAACGAAAACGACAAAAAAAACCACACACCAUGAACCGGUACUUUUGUUGCAAUUGUGUGUGUGUGUUUUCAGUUUAACCAUUGACGUCAAACCAUAUUCUAAAUCUGACUAUAUAGAUAUUUGCUCAUAAAAGAAGUCAAAUCAGACUCUAAAUCCAAUUCUAUAGAUCUGUGUUAAGAUGACAACAUUGAAGUCAUAUCAAACUUUUAAACAUGACUACACAGAAGAUAAUACCACUAGAGUCAAAUCAGAUUCUAAAUAUGAUUAAAACUUCAAAGUUAACAGAUUAUCUUCCAUAUAUUUAUUUGAAAGCUACUGCUGAUAUUAACUUUGUUCUCUUUGUAUAUUUCCUAUACUUACUGUACGAGUUAAAACUCUCUGUAGAUUUUGUCAAUUUAUAAAUGAAUAGGUAUAAAAUGAUUUCAAAUCAGUCUUCACCUUUUGUGAAAUCUUUCCUGAGAAGAUAUGACAUUGGACAUAAAACCAAAACAAAAAAAUUAAGAGUCUCUUCUGAAGGCAUAUUUCAAUCUUUUGCAUCUAAGAAAUCCUAAAUUAUUCCUCUUCUUCUUUUCAUUCAUGUGGAUGGAAAUAAAAUUCUUAUGCAAGGAAGCAAAAUGUACAUGUGUUUUAAUGAUAUUAUGAUCACUUUUACUACGAUUCACAAACAUGUGAACACUUGAAUUGUGAGGAAUGAGGAAAAAUCAUAACCGUGUGAAAAAUACUUGCGAUCAUAAAAAUGUUGAUCGAAUGCCAUCCAGGUAUGGUACUAAUAUGAAAUCACAUAUUUCCCGCAUUGCAAAAGAAAUAAUUUUCCAAACUCUUCAAAUUGUUAAAUGGCUAGAUGGAAUGUCAUACACGCGACAUAUUUUGUUUGUACAUUAUCAAGAUAUAGCAUGGCUCAAACUGUUAUCACGAAAGUAGGUUUUGUUACUGGAUGGUUAACUUAUGAUAUAAUAUGAAGUGUAAAGUAUGUCCUCACAUGUCUGUAUGGUUUUUUUAAGAACUACUUUAUGAAUUUGCUCUCU